Molecule: ribosomal RNA, 390 nt
Filed under: uncultured bacterium
Lineage: Bacteria
Description: bacterial SSU rRNA
Rfam family: Bacterial small subunit ribosomal RNA
Source: RNAcentral
GACGAACGCUGGCGGCGUGCUUAACACAUGCAAGUCGAGCGGUAAGGCCCUUUCGGGGGUACACGAGCGGCGAACGGGUGAGUAACACGUGGGUGACCUGCCCUCAGCUCUGGGAUAAGCCUGGGAAACCGGGUCUAAUACUGGAUAUGACUCCAUGACGCAUGUUGUGGGGUGGGAAGCCUUGUGCGGCUGAGGAUGGGCCCGCGGCCUAUCAGCUUGUUGGUGGGGUGANGGCCUACCAAGGCGACGACGGGUAGCCGGCCUGAGAGGGCGACCGGCCACACUGGGACUGAGACACGGCCCAGACUCCUACGGGAGGCAGCAGUGGGGAAUCUUGCGCAAUGGGCGAAAGCCUGACGCAGCGACGCCGCGUGAGGGAUGACGGCCUGG